CGGGUUGUAAGCACUUUGUCAGGAACGAAACGGAUUGAGAUAAUACCUUGAUCUAAUGACGGUACCUGAAGAAUAAGCACCGGCUAACUACGUGC
RNAcentral lists this ribosomal RNA (95 nucleotides) under uncultured bacterium. RNAcentral's name for it is "partial 16S ribosomal RNA". The record is from RNAcentral.